RNAcentral lists this ribosomal RNA (238 nucleotides) under Xanthomonas citri pv. citri. RNAcentral describes it as "partial 16S ribosomal RNA". It matches the Rfam family "Bacterial small subunit ribosomal RNA", at positions 401 to 632 of the family's 1533-position model. Lineage: Bacteria; Pseudomonadati; Pseudomonadota; Gammaproteobacteria; Lysobacterales; Lysobacteraceae. The record is from RNAcentral.
UGUAUGAAGAAGGCCUUCGGGUUGUAAAGUACUUUCAGCGGGGAGGAAGGGAGUAAAGUUAAUACCUUUGCUCAUUGACGUUACCCGCAGAAGAAGCACCGGCUAACUCCGUGCCAGCAGCCGCGGUAAUACGGAGGGUGCAAGCGUUAAUCGGAAUUACUGGGCGUAAAGCGCACGCAGGCGGUUUGUUAAGUCAGAUGUGAAAUCCCCGGGCUCAACCUGGGAACUGCAUCUGAUA